GCAUAAUAGUUUGCCUUUUAAUUGGAGGCUGGUAUGAAUGGAUAUACGAGGUUAAAGCUGUCUCGAUCUAAAUUUUAAAAAUUGGUAUUCAGGUGAAGAGACCUGAAUUAUUAUGAAGGACAAAAAGACCCUAUUGAGCUUUAUUUUUAUAAGAAUCUCAGUGAUUUUUACAUUUUUACUUUAAAAAAUUUGGUUGGGGCAACAAAGGAAUAUAAAUAUCUUCCUUAAAAUUUUAGAGUUAUUUCUCUUUUCAAAGAUCUAUUUUAAAUAAUAAGAAGAAAGAGUUACCAUAGGGAUAACAGGCUAAUUCUCUUGGAGAGUUCAUAUUGAUAAGGGAGUUUGGCACCUCGAUGUUGGCUUAGAGUAUCCUAUAGGUGCAGCAGUCUAUAAGGGUUGGUUUGUUCAACCAUUAAAAUUCUA
Molecule: ribosomal RNA, 420 nt
Filed under: Phyllodoce laminosa
Lineage: Eukaryota; Metazoa; Annelida; Polychaeta; Phyllodocida; Phyllodocidae
Description: partial 16S ribosomal RNA
Rfam family: Bacterial large subunit ribosomal RNA
Source: RNAcentral